This is an RNA transcript of Melanotaenia boesemani (Boeseman's rainbowfish), 1475 nucleotides long. RefSeq lists it as uncharacterized. Lineage: Eukaryota; Metazoa; Chordata; Actinopteri; Atheriniformes; Melanotaeniidae. The transcript has 3 exons. The record is from RefSeq and is a predicted model, not a curated record.
CAAAGUGCUGCAGAGACUGGCAGAAUGUGGACACAAAGCUUCUCGGACAAAACUGCAAUUCUGCCAGCCUCAGGUGGAAUUCCUUGGCAGAGUAAUCUCCCAUGGAACAAUAGCUCUGUCUCCUGACCACCUCAAAGGCAUAAGUCGAGCACCGCGUCCACAGACAUGCGCGCAACUAAUGACCUUUUAAGGUAUCACAGGAUUCAGCGCGGAGUGGUUGGAGGACUACGCAGUAAAGACGGCGCCGCUUAGGGAUCUCCUGAAGUCCUCUGAAGCCAAGACUUUAAAGAAGUCUUUGGAGUGGACCACAGAGGCACUGUUGGCUUUUGAUGUGCUCAAGCAGGAACUGCAAAAUGCCCCAGCGCUGAAAAUGCCAGAAUAUGAUAAACUUUUCUAUCUUUACGUUUCAAACAGAUGCAACAUGUACGCAACGGCUGUAUUGGCACAAGACUCAUGUGCUGGUGGAAGGAAACAACCCAUCGCUUACUACAGUGCAAGGUUGGACGACGUAGCACGAGGGUGGCCCCCCUGCUACCAGGGCCUCGCAGCUGUUCACAUGGCGUAUGAAAAGGCGUCUGCAAUAACUAAGUCAUAUCCUGUGGUUAUUUACACCCAUCAUAAAAUCACAGAGUUGAUCAAUCACAGCAAACUUGUUCUGACAACAGCACGUUGCCUUCAGUAUCUACCAUUGCUCACCUAUCCAGAUGUAACAAUUAAGAGAUGUGAGACCACAAAUCCUGCUAAUAUGUUACCUUUUGAAUUUGAAGGUGAUACGCACGAGUGCGUCGCUGAGACCACGAGGUACACAAAACUGAGACCGGACUUGGAAUCUGAGCCGUUGGACAACGCACAGGUCACGUACUAUGUAGAUGGGUCAUGCUUUCGAGACCACAUGGGAACUCACGCAGGCUACGCCGUGGUGCAACAAAAGGAAGGGACGUUUGUGACAAUAAAAGCUGAAAAGUGUUUACAACCUUGCUCUGCACAAUUAGCUGAAUUGUAUGGACUUACUGCAGCUUGUGAACUUGCUAAAGACUCCUCUGCUAAUAUCUACACAGAUUCAGCAUACGCUCACGGAGUAUGUCACCUGUUCGGAGCAGUUUGGAAACUGCGCGGCUUUCAAAAAUCAGAUGGUAAACCUGUUCGGCAUGGGAAACAGAUUAUGAAGCUAAUCUCGGCCAUGAUGCUUCCACAUCGAUUGGCCAUUAUCAAGUGUCCUGCUCAUCAAAAAGACAACUCCAUCACCACGAUGGGAAACAACGCGGCAGACGAAGCUGCAAAGCACGCUUCAGGUUGCAAGAGUGUCACAAACCAGACCACUGUGGGCGAGAUGAGGUGAUACAUCGAAUACAACAACAGGGUUAUUGGGCGCCGUACCUGCAGGCAUUGGUGACGGAUGCGCUUAAUCGGUGCGAGAUAUGCUCGCAGAACAACGUUCGAAAAGGAAAAAGCGAACGAGCCAAAACCUGUCUCUG